UGCCAGCCGCCGCGGUAAUACGUAGGGUGCAAGCGUUAAUCGGAAUUACUGGGCGUAAAGCGCGCGUAGGCGGUUUUGUAAGUCGGAUGUGAAAGCCCAGGGCUCAACCCUGGAAUUGCAUUCGAUACUGCAUAACUAGAGUAUGGUAGAGGGAAGUGGAAUUUCCGGUGUAGCGGUGAAAUGCGUAGAUAUCGGAAGGAACACCAGUGGCGAAGGCGACUUCCUGGGCCAAUACUGACGCUGAGGAACGAAAGCCAGGGGAGCGAAUGGGAUUAGAUA
RNAcentral lists this ribosomal RNA (279 nucleotides) under uncultured bacterium. RNAcentral's name for it is "partial 16S ribosomal RNA". It matches the Rfam family "Bacterial small subunit ribosomal RNA", at positions 506 to 784 of the family's 1533-position model. The record is from RNAcentral.